Molecule: non-coding RNA, 259 nt
Organism: Arachis ipaensis
Lineage: Eukaryota; Viridiplantae; Streptophyta; Magnoliopsida; Fabales; Fabaceae
Source: RefSeq, a predicted model, not a curated record
CGAUAAGCUCUCUGGGCUACUUUAAAAGCUAAAGGUACCUAUUAUCGCCAUCAGUUAUCACUUUUUGUUGUUAGCUAGGUUUCAUCUACAGCUGUUACUAAAUGAAAAUGUUGCAGGAAGCUAAUGAAGAAUCAAAAGCCAUUACAAAAGCAUCUUCUAUGAAAGCUAUCAAGAAGAGGAUGGAGAAGGAUAUUGAUGAAGUUGGAAAGAUUGCACAUGGUGUCAAAACAAAAAUAGGAGCUAUAAACAGAGAUGUAAU